RNAcentral lists this ribosomal RNA (498 nucleotides) under uncultured bacterium. RNAcentral's name for it is "partial 16S ribosomal RNA". It matches the Rfam family "Bacterial small subunit ribosomal RNA", at positions 30 to 523 of the family's 1533-position model. The record is from RNAcentral.
AUUGAACGCUGGCGGCAUGCCUUACACAUGCAAGUCGAACGGUAACAGGUCUUCGGACGCUGACGAGUGGCGAACGGGUGAGUAAUACAUCGGAACGUGCCCAGUCGUGGGGGAUAACUACUCGAAAGAGUAGCUAAUACCGCAUACGAUCUGAGGAUGAAAGCGGGGGACCUUCGGGCCUCGCGCGAUUGGAGCGGCCGAUGGCAGAUUAGGUAGUUGGUGGGAUAAAAGCUUACCAAGCCGACGAUCGGUAGCUGGUCUGAGAGGACGACCAGCCACACUGGGACUGAGAAACGGCCCAGACUCCUACGGGAGGCAGCAGUGGGGAAUUUUGGACAAUGGGCGAAAGCCUGAUCCAGCAAUGCCGCGUGCAGGAUGAAGGCCUUCGGGUUGUAAACUGCUUUUGUACGGAACGAAAAAGUCUCCUCUAAUACAGGAGGCCCAUGACGGUACCGUAAGAAUAAGCACCGGCUAACUACGUGCCAGCAGCCGCCGUAA